GUAUUAGUGGUUCAGUAGUAGAAUUUCCACCUUCCAUGCAAGAGACCCGAGUUCAAUUCCUGGCCAAUACA
RNAcentral lists this transfer RNA (71 nucleotides) under Loxodonta africana (African savanna elephant). It matches the Rfam family "tRNA". Rfam says of the family: Transfer RNA (tRNA) molecules are approximately 80 nucleotides in length. Their secondary structure includes four short double-helical elements and three loops (D, anti-codon, and T loops). Lineage: Eukaryota; Metazoa; Chordata; Mammalia; Proboscidea; Elephantidae. The record is from Rfam by way of RNAcentral.